Long non-coding RNA from Rattus norvegicus (Norway rat), 2944 nucleotides. The record is from Ensembl. Lineage: Eukaryota; Metazoa; Chordata; Mammalia; Rodentia; Muridae.
GCAGGUGUAAAGUCCCAUGCUCACGUGGUGCUGGCCAGCAAACCCAGAUCUCCCUGCAUGCUAGAGAAACACUUCACCACAUCAUCUACAGACGCAGCCAAAUUUCCUUUCAAGGACAUGCCCAUCCUCUGAGAGUCCAACCCUAUGUUGAUUUUCCUCGUGACAGCGGGAUAUUUCAGCUCGGUGAUUACUCAGGUCACCCAGAGAGCUUAUUUGAUCCAAAGCUGCUGUAUCAGUCACCAGGCCUGAGUCAGAGCUUGGACAGGGCACAGCUGUAGCUCCCUGAACGGCAAAUACCUUGCCAUAGCGGUUGCUGGGGAAAUAUGUCGGAAACCUGUCUUCAGAGCUUGCUGGGAAUCUGCUGGGUGAGGUGCUGGGGAACGCUGUGGAUAGUGAGGAUAGAGGACAUUUCACUGGAGACACUUCACUGCGAAACCGCCUGAAGGGGAGCUGGCCAGGGCCACUGUGUGCAGUAUAGACAAGUGUGGCCGAAGCUGCCCAUGCAGAUAGAUUAGGGUCUCGGCAGCUGCACUGAACAAAGUGAGCCUUAGUAACCGCAGAUCCGAAUUAUUGAAUUCAUGCAUGCCUCCCGUCUUGACCACGGUAGCCACAUUUUGUGUGUACAGGAACAGUGAGACUUGCAUGGUCCUGGCUAGACAAAGAGACUGCUGAUCUCUAUGGUGACCAAGCUGGCCAGUACCUGCCUCCCUGCAGUGGGAGCCCUCCCAUGACUUUUCUGUGCAGUGUGGCUAUCGGUAUCCACUCGAGAGAAACCCAUCCACCCACACCCGCCUUCCCUAACGUCCCGGCCACAGACUGUCUUACUCCCUCCAUGCCUCUGACCCUUCAGGCCAAACAAUUUGUAACCGUGAGUGGAGUGGCUUUGAGCCGUCCUUCUGGCCACCUCUAACACUAGACAAACAUGCCUUCACUGUGCACUGCUGGGAGGGUUUCCCUUCACUGUCAUCCUCCAGGGGCCACAGAACUGCCCCCAUCCCCAGCGCUGCUGUCUACUCAUGAGCAGCUACAGCAACUGUAUGCACCGGCUUCUAAGACGGCUGUUUCUCUUUCUCAGACAGUGUAUUUAAACGCACUGGUCUCUAAAAUAACCAGGUAUUGUCUAAAAUGUCCUUCUGUGAGAAUCUUCUCUUCCCCAAACAACUCUAGACUUGUGGUUCCUGAAACUCCGGGCCAACAGCAAGUUCCACUGCCUUAACUUCUGAACACCGGUAAAAUACUUCCACAACUCCUGGGACGUUGUUUGGAAUUCAGAAUGACUCAUUUACACACUGACUCUCUACAAGAAAUGCAUUCAAGAACAUAUGAUGUCGCUCACGGAUCAGAGCCAUCUGACGGCAGGAUUUGGAGGACACCUCUGAAAGGGCCCCAGGUACUGCGUCUCCAAAGAAGAGAGUAGAGACAUAGUUUCAGCAGAAACAGAAGGUUGAUACACUUUCAAGGCAGAGGAAGUGGACCAGAACCAAUGGAGACCUAGAGUCAUUCAGCCCUGCCGUGGGGAGAAUGAAUGGGGUCUUUCAUGUCUAAGGCACGGGCUUCGGGGCUCAUGCUCAUAGCACAAGAUGUUCCUUGCGUGCUUUCUACUGUCACGUGUAAUUCUAGAUACAGUUUCCAUGUGGUUACAUCUCAUUUGCACGGUGAGUCGUCACCCAGGGCAGUGAAGAGGUCUGGCGGUAUAAGGUAUAAUGAGCCAAAGACGCCUUUCAGACACUGGAACCCUCUGCACCUGCAGCACUGGCUGGCGCUGGCUGGCCGUGCAGGGGGCUUAGCCUUUCUCUUGACCAAGUGUUUUAUAUGCGAAUUUGUUAUAAGGCUUUCUAUAUGUCUCUACCCCUAGUCUCCCUCCUACACUCUAGCACAUUCGUGAUUCCUGAAAUGAAAGGGUCACUCUUCUCAUGAAUGUGCAUGACGGUCUGUUGGGUUUGAGGCAAGAACUGAGGUUUCUGAGGACAGCAUGGAGGUGACUCAGCCUGGUCCUGAGACCUUUUCUCUGUGAAACAGCAGGUAGUGGGUAGUCCCGAUCAGUCUGUAAUAGGAUAAGCUGUCACUGUCAGUACAAUAAAAAAAGACAGACAGAUGGACAGACAGACUGGCAGACUGAGGGACAGACAGGUUCGGGAACCCAUUUAGAGUAUCCCAAAUUCUAUGUUCCAGUGAGGGAGAUUCCAUGAAGUUUUUAUGGAAACAGAACACACACCACAGAUGAGGACACUUUUCACACGUGCUGGUAGAAACGUUUGGAGAUGGUUAGAGUGAAGCGGGGAAUGGCAGAUGUAGGCCUCACAUGCUGUCUAAUGACGCCCUUCACUUUGGAUUUGGUGGAAGCUAGGGUCUACUAAGCUAAACAGGUUUCAGAAACCUGUGCCUAGAGGUGCACACCUUUAAACCCAGCACUUAGGGUGCAGAGGCAGGAGGAUCUCUGUGAAUUCCAGGCCAGCUUCACCUAUAUACAGAAUUCUAGGGCAGCCAGAGCUACAAGGGGAGACCCUGCCUUAAAAAGAGGGGUGGAGGAAGGGAAAGACAGACCGCAGACAGACAGACGACAGAUGGAGAAGGGAUUUACCUGAGUCACAGGGAUGUUAGAUCAGAUAGACACAGAGGUGGGAGAGGAAUCGCUAAUAAGGCUAAACCCAGUCCAAGGUAAACUGUAAUGUGCCUCUGACCCUGCAACCUUUCAACCUCUCCACAGUCACUGAAAUUCCAAGCCUUUAACCAGCCUUGUAGGUUGAGCGGGAGGCAUGGCUUUCCUCCGGGAACUUCCAUUCACUUCCCUGAACGGGUUGAAGGAGAGGAGAGGAUCACAGUUGAGGGGAAGAGAAAUCUGAGCUCAGCCAAGCAUCCCAAAAUAGCUGAAGAGCCGAAUUAUAACUGUGCAGAUUGAUCCUUCCAGUCAGCCCUUCCUAAGCUCCUUUGCUGGCAGGAAGGG